Macaca fascicularis (crab-eating macaque) is the source of this 2669-nucleotide long non-coding RNA. The record is from Ensembl. Lineage: Eukaryota; Metazoa; Chordata; Mammalia; Primates; Cercopithecidae.
GCCGCCGGGCCCGGCCGGUCCCCGAGGGCGGGGCCGCGGCCCCACGCCCCACCCACUGCGAGCAGAGGCGGGGCAUGGGUCACGUGACGGCACGCCGAACAGCGAGGCCCCGCCCGGCGGGAGGAGGCCCGGCCGCGACCCGGGCCGCGAGCUGAGGAGCCGCCCGGUCUCCCGCGCGCUCGCUCCGGCGGCGUCCCCAGCCCUCGGCCCCUCUGUUGCCGGCCUCCGGCUCGCCGGCUGCGAGAGUGGCCUCAAGAUGGAUGAAGACGGCGGCGGCGAGGGUGGUGGCGGGCCCUAUCUUUUCAUCCCCAAGGGAAGCCCUCCAGUGGACAAGCUUUGCUCACAAACACAGAACAUAAUGAACCUUCCCAUUUGAGAAGGAAAUCUAGUGAGAAAAGUUUACCUACACGCAACACCAAAGGAAGACUCACAGCUAGCUUCAUCUCUUUUUUUUUUUUUUUUUUUUUUUGAGACAGAGGCUUGCUUUAUUCCCCAGGCUGGAGUGCAGUGGUGUGAUCUUGGCUCACUGCAAGCUCUGCCUCCUGGGUUCACGCCGUUCUCUUGCCUCAGCCUCCCGAGUAGCUGGGACUACAACCAUCCGCCACCACGCCCGGCUAAUUUUUUGUAUUUUUAGUAGAGAUGGGAUUUCACUGUAUGAUCUUGAUCUCCUGACUUCGUGAUCCACCUGCCUUGGCCUCCCAAAGUGCUGGGAUUACAGGCGUGAGCCACCGCGCCUGGCGCUUCAUCUCAUUUUUAAAUGCGUACAAACAGCAAGGACCUCCAGAUGGAUGAAAAAACCCAACCACGUGAAAGAGAAAAUUUAAAAUAAAAUUUCUGUAGAAACAGAGAAAGCUGACAUCAAAAGAAUUUAGAAGAUAGAAGAACACUAAAAAAUGGUCAUUGGCAAUUUCCAUGAAGAUGUGACUUAGGCACUAGUGUUCGUCUAACUUUUUACCUCCCCUCCCUUGAAUCACCAGAUCCCGAUGGAAGCGAUUGAGAAAAAGAGAGAUGAAAAGCUGAAUCAUAAUGGAUAGUGGGAUCAGGGUGAAGAAAUACCAGGCCCUGACUCAUCACUCUGUUUCCUGAGAACUCAGUGCAGAGUUGUGAGGAACGUACGGAGAUGUGGUGUUGGCUGUGCUAACUUGGGAGAGCAGAGAGAGAGGGAGGCCUGAUGAUCCUGAAUGUCCGCAGGCAGCCGGGGUGGGCUUGUGCAGUGGCAAUGUUGACGAGCAGCUGAACUGGGAGGCCAGAGGACGCACGCGGCUGCAACACGCUCAAAACUACUAGAGCUUCUCCUGGGCGCCACAAUUCUCCUUUCUGGCGCGUUGGGCGGCUUCCCACCCAUCUGGAGUGGAAGCCAGAUCCAGACAGAGUUAGAUGCAGAAACUGGAAUACAAAAGCGACACGAUAGGCUCAGAGAAGGAGGCUCCCAGAGCUGACAUUCCCUGGAAGAUGGACCACAUCUCUGAAUAGGCAGUGCAGUUUAUAUAUGCAUCCUUCAGCCUAUAAACUUAGAGUUGGAAAACAACAGCAAAAACCCACCAACAUUUAGCAGCAUUCUAAGGAGGAGGUCCAGCUAUUCUUUUUUUGGGGGGGGGGGAGGGAGGCAGGAUGGGUCUAAAUACUAUUGUUCAAAAAUAAAGAAUAAAGCAACAUGUUUCCAAAAGAAAAUAGGAGGGGGUUAUAGUUUUUGAGGCAGAGGAAGAAUAUAAUUUAGAAAAUAGUAAUUACGGAAAUGAGAAGUAAAUUUCAGGUUGAAUCUACUUUGUGCUGUUCUUAAUAAAAUUCAAGAAACACACAUAAGUGGUUGAAAGAUGAGAUAAAGCAACAGGCCAAGCUGAAAACUAGGGCAGAGAGAAUUAUAAAAUGAGGCUGGGCACACAAGCUUACGCCUGUGUUCCCAGCACUUUGGGAGGCUGAGGUGAGGGGAUCGUUGCAGCCCAGGAGUUUAAGACCAGGAGUUCGAGACCAGUCUGGGCAACAUGGUGAGACCCCCUUCUCUAUAAAAAACAAGAAAAAAUUAGCCAGGUGUGGUGGUACGUGCUGCACCCGUGGUCCCAACUACUCAGAGGCUAAGGUGGGAGGAUCGCUUGAGCCCAGAAGUUGGCAAGGCUGCAGUGAGCUAUGAUUGUGGCGCUGCGCUCCAGGCUGGGUGACAGACCCUGUCUCAAAAAUAAGUAAAUAAAAAUUACAAAGUGAAAUGAAAGAGCUGAAAGAAACUGUAAUGAUAGUAAAAGCAUUUGCAGAAUUUUAAAUUCCCUUAGGAUUCAUGAAGAGCAAAAGUUUACAAUGUAGAAAGUUAAAUUAUUGCUGUGAUCUGAGUAAGUGUUGUUCCUAAAGAAGAUACGAAAACAAAUAGAACAGAAGAAACGAUAAUCAGAUUCAAUGGGAAAAAGUAUCUUUGAGCUGAAAAAAACACCAGCUGUUUCUGUAUAUUCAAAGAGCUCAUUCUGCCUUAGAUGAAAUUAGUGGAAAGAGCAAGAAAGAGCAAGAGAGGACCCUGCAAACAGCCAGUCAGAACCUGGGGAGAGGGUUACUUAUAAAGAAAUUGGGAUGGUUUUAGACUUUUCUAUAACAUUGCCAGAAAAUAGUGUCGUGGAGCUGAAGCUAAGUUUUAAGGGAAAAAAGGUUGUAACUAAGAAUUAAAUGGUCACACUAAUUGUUGUUAA